CAAGAUAUCUGACACUAUCCCUCUUGGCGAUGACCUAAGAUCAAUUCAUCACGUCUCUGCCUACUUCACUCGGCUCGGCGGUAAACUUGCACUCCAGGUAUUCUGUCUUAAAUCUGCUUAUUUUGAAACCCUUAGACUCGAGAGUCUGUCUCUAUACCUCUAACCUCUCAAUAACACCGACUCUCGUCUCGUCCAUCAAGACUAUGUAGCAUUACGACAGCCCACUGUUAAUCAACAAGCAUCACAACUCAAUGCUAUAACGAACGUUAACCAAACCGAUAAAUUCGUUAAGCAUAAAAAUAGCAUUGCAACAGCCCACUGUUAAACAUAACCACAAAUUCCAUUACACACUAUUUGACACACACACACGCACACAACACUUAACAAAACGAAUACACUAUCAGAGUACUGAAAAUUUCAAAUAGUAUCAUAAGCGAGCUAACAAAUGCAGCAUUUCAGAUCUUAAAGAAGCAAUCGACCAAUAGCACAAACACAAUUACACAAAAUAAAGAAUUCACACCUGAUCUAGCGAAGUUUAAGCUCAAUUUAUACUCAGGAGCUACAAGUAUACACAGAUAUAAAUAUAAACCUACACACACACAAAAAGGAAAGUAAUUUACAGUGCUGCGGCGACGUUCGGCGGCAAUGGAGAAACCGAAAGCGGUUAAGCUGAGUACUAUUACGACUAGAUGAACAAGCGAAGAUCCUUUGCCUUCCGCCAUUUUCUUUAGAAGCUUCUUUGAUUUAGGGCUUCACCUCACUGAAGAGUGUGUAAACUCUCAAUUCACUGUGUGUUGUUAAUGUGACAGAGUGUGUGUUUUGAGUGAGUACUUUUUGAGUUGUGUUUAAAGGUGGGAACUUAAAAGAAG
RNAcentral lists this long non-coding RNA (869 nucleotides) under Nicotiana benthamiana. Its description in RNAcentral is "long non-coding RNA (NBEN_LNC021180)". The record is from RNAcentral. Lineage: Eukaryota; Viridiplantae; Streptophyta; Magnoliopsida; Solanales; Solanaceae.